Non-coding RNA from Pelobates cultripes (western spadefoot toad), 233 nucleotides. NCBI's taxonomy places the organism in Eukaryota, Metazoa, Chordata, Amphibia, Anura, Pelobatidae. The record is from the annotation of a GenBank genome assembly.
GUUCGUUAGUUUUCUCUUUGGGGUUACCCCCCAUUCCCCAGUGUACCAGGUAUUGGAUCGAUUUCAGUUCCUCUUCUUUCACUAUGCCCAAAACAGUUCCAUGAAAUCAGUGCUAACAGUCGGUCAAGUUCAGUAGUCUUUAACAGGUUUCCCUGCAGGGCCCAUAGUCUGUGGGCAGGAGGCUGGCAAGCAGGCUCCUCCAGGAGCUUGUGACAAACUCACGAUGGAAGGGG